UCUCUUCAAUUCUCUUCAUUUUCAUCAGCUGAAAAACAGCCAUGGAAGAGGGUUCAAGCUGGUUUUCAUACUCUAGCUUCAUGGUUGAGUACUUUCGUUCAGUGGCUAAGACGAAUUGACGGAAAAGACCAUGGUUGGACCAUGGCAACAUGUGAAAUGUGAUUUCCAUAUAAGACCAUAGCUGGGCUAUGGUGUCGGAGAGAUGUGAUUAUAUGCUUCCGUAUAAGACUAUAUCUGGGAUAUGACAUCGGUGUGAUAUAUGCUACUGUAUAAGACCAUAUCUGGGAUAUGACAUCAGUGAGAUAUGCGAUUUGUGUAAGACCAUAGCUGGGCUAUGACAUCGAUAUGUGAUAUGUGAUUACGUGUAAGACCAUAGCUGGGCUAUGGCAUUGAUAUGUGAUCCGUGUAAGACCAUAGCUGGGCUAUGGCAUCGAUAUGUGAUAUGUGAUUCCGUGUAAGACCAUAGUUGAACUAUGACAUCGAGAAAACGAAGUACUCAAUUCCGUAAGACGUUCGCUAAUUUGACAAAGUUUAGUAAGUGUUACAUGGAACUAUGUAAUAUAAGGAAGUACGAGUUGAUAUGACAUGAGUAUAGAACUUGGUUGAUGAAUGAAUUCAUUUGUGAUUAUAUAA
Molecule: long non-coding RNA, 633 nt
Organism: Gossypium arboreum
Lineage: Eukaryota; Viridiplantae; Streptophyta; Magnoliopsida; Malvales; Malvaceae
Exons: 2
Source: RefSeq, a predicted model, not a curated record